CCUACGGGCGGCUGCAGUGAGGAAUAUUGGUCAAUGGACGAGAGUCUGAACCAGCCAAGUAGCGUGAAGGAUGACUGCCCUAUGGGUUGUAAACUUCUUUUAUAUGGGAAUAAAAUGUUCCACGUGUGGGAUUUUGUAUGUACCAUAUGAAUAAGGAUCGGCUAACUCCGUGCCAGCAGCCGCGGUAAUACGGAGGAUCCGAGCGUUAUCCGGAUUUAUUGGGUUUAAAGGGAGCGUAGGUGGAUUGUUAAGUCAGUUGUGAAAGUUUGCGGCUCAACCGUAAAAUUGCAGUUGAAACUGGCAGUCUUGAGUGCAGUAGAGGUGGGCGGAAUGCGUGGUGUAGCGGUGAAAUGCUUAGAUAUCACGAAGAACUCCGAUUGCGAAGGCAGUUCACUGGACUGCAACUGACACUGAGGCUCGAAAGUGUGGGUAUCAAACAGGAUUAGAUACCCCAGUAGUC
This 460-nucleotide ribosomal RNA is filed under the name uncultured bacterium. RNAcentral's name for it is "partial 16S ribosomal RNA". It matches the Rfam family "Bacterial small subunit ribosomal RNA", at positions 338 to 795 of the family's 1533-position model. The record is from RNAcentral.